RNAcentral lists this unclassified non-coding RNA (231 nucleotides) under plant metagenome. RNAcentral's name for it is "partial contains small subunit ribosomal RNA, internal transcribed spacer 1, and 5.8S ribosomal RNA". The stretch from base 183 to 231 matches the Rfam family "5.8S ribosomal RNA", at positions 1 to 49 of the family's 154-position model. The record is from RNAcentral.
UUUCCGUAGGUGAACCUGCGGAAGGAUCAUUCAUAAUAAAGUGUUUUAUGGCACUUUUUAAAAAUCCAUAUCCACCUUGUGUGCAAUGUUAGAUCUCGUCAAUCUUGGCGAGAUUUUUAUACAUCAGCUCAUUCUUUAACUAAUUUGUCUGAAAAAUAUUAUGAAUACUUAAUUCAAAAUACAACUUUCAACAACGGAUCUCUUGGCUCUCGCAUCGAUGAAGAACACAGC